Molecule: long non-coding RNA, 265 nt
Filed under: Vigna radiata
Lineage: Eukaryota; Viridiplantae; Streptophyta; Magnoliopsida; Fabales; Fabaceae
Description: long non-coding RNA (VRAD_LNC006183)
Source: RNAcentral
CUAAGAGUAACAAAAUAAAUUCUAAGAAAUUUAUUAAUUUAAGCAAACCUGUAAACAAUGUUUGUUUUUAAUACAAUACUAUUAUUGUGAGAAAUUGUUAUUAUAGGAAGGUUGAUGUUCCAAGAGGAAAAUAUAAAUGGAUUCCUAAAGAACAACCUCCUGUUACUAACAAAAAAGGCCCUAAGUUUAUUUGCGUACUCAUAACGGUUGAAAAUACCGUUAUCUAUGAUGUAAUUUUGAUACUAAAUGCACCCUUUUCUACUUA